RNAcentral lists this long non-coding RNA (369 nucleotides) under Bemisia tabaci. Its description in RNAcentral is "lncRNA ENSSSA3NGG007436". The record is from RNAcentral. Lineage: Eukaryota; Metazoa; Arthropoda; Insecta; Hemiptera; Aleyrodidae.
GCUGCAGGACAAACCGGACGUGAUUUGGCAUAUUUCACUUUCAAAGAUGACAAACUGCGAGAUUCCAUCUAUAAAAUGUAUAAAUUUCUCUGUGAUAAAGGAUCUACUGUGGGAAAAUUGUACAAGCUCCUCUGCAGAUUUAGCGAUCAUCGUGCCCAAAAUAAGAAUUCUGAUCUCUAUUCGUUCCUCUACUCUGAAUACAAUGCACCAUCUCAGAGUAAACUAAGUUUUAGCAAGCCAACCUCAGAAAGGAGAAGUGAAAUUCGAACCCAGGAAAGCCCAGCCACCGAGGCAAACAACAAGUCCUUAUUUCAGUGCCAACUCGUCUUCAGCAACGGACUCGAAAUCAUGCGGGUUAUCUUCAGAUGA